CCUACGGGUGGCAGCAGUGGGGAAUAUUGCGCAAUGGGGGCACCCCUGACGCAGCAACGCCGCGUGAUUGAAGAAGGCCUUCGGGUUGUAAAGAUCUUUAAUCGGGGACGAAUUUUUACGGUACCCGAAGAAUAAGCUCCGGCUAACUCGGUGCCAGCAGCCGCUGUAGUACGUGGGGAGCAAGCGUUAUCGGGAUUUUCUGGGUGUAAAGGGCGUGUAGGCGGGCAUGCAAGCCAGAAGUGAAAUCUGGGGGCUUAACCCCCAAACUGCUUUGGAACUGCGUGGCUUGAGUGAGGGAGCGGCAGGCGGAAUUCCCAGUGUAGCGGUGAAAGGCGAAGAUAGCGGGAGGAACACCAGUGGCGAAGGCGGCCUGCUGGACAUUAAGUGACGCUGAGGCGCGAAAGCGUGGGGAGCAAACAGGAUUAGAGACCCGAGUAGUC
Molecule: ribosomal RNA, 440 nt
Filed under: uncultured bacterium
Lineage: Bacteria
Description: partial 16S ribosomal RNA
Rfam family: Bacterial small subunit ribosomal RNA
Source: RNAcentral